Molecule: small nucleolar RNA, 140 nt
Organism: Acomys russatus (golden spiny mouse)
Lineage: Eukaryota; Metazoa; Chordata; Mammalia; Rodentia; Muridae
Product: small nucleolar RNA SNORA48
Exons: 1
Source: RefSeq, a predicted model, not a curated record
CCCCCCAGCAAUGGUCAAAGAGGCAUCUUGGUAGUGGUGUUCUUAUAUCAGUCAUGGGCAGAGCAGACAGCAGUCCUUGGUUCAUCCUAGCUUGACACAUGGCUUGAUGGCCAAAGCUAUCUUAUGCCUAGGACUCAUAA